GGAGAACCAUGUACAGCUCCUUGGAGGAAAAUGGUGGGACAAAAUGCAGUGGAUAAAAAUACGGUGGUGCCCCGCAAGACGAAUGCCUCGCAAGACGGAAAACCCGCUAGACGAAAGGGUUUUCCGUUUUGGAGGUGCUUCGCAAAACGAAUUUCCUAUGUGCUUGCUUCGCAAGAUGAAAAUGUCUUGCGAGUUCCUGCGGGGGUUUUUUCCUCCCCCCCCCCCUUUUUCCCAAGCCGCUAAACCGCUUACCAGCUGAUGGCUAAGCCGCUUAUCAGCUGAUCCGCUAAGCCCGCUAAGCCGCUAAUACUGUAGCGCUAAUCCGCUAAACCGCUAAUGGGCUUGCUUCGCAAGACGAAAAAACCCGCAAGACGAAGAAACUCGCGGAACGGAUUCUUUUCGUCUUGCGAGGCACCACUGUAAGUCCCCCAUCUCACCCUCCUUGGCUUCAUUUCAAUAGAGGAGGAGGGAGACGGGGCCUCUGGAGUUGCACUAGAACAGAAGUGUGGCUUAGUGGUUAGAGUGUCAGACUGGGAGGCCAGAGUUCGAAUUCCCACUAAGUCAUGAAGCUCACAGGUGACCCAGGGCCGGUCGCCGUCUAGCCUACCUCACAGGGUUGUUGUGAGAAUGAAAUGAAGUCUGUGGGGAACUGUGUGUGCCCACCUUGAGCUCCUUUGGAGGAAAAGUAGGAUAUAACCCUGGGAGCUUUAAGUGUUGUGGGAGUUGUAACUUUGUGAGGGGC
Non-coding RNA from Podarcis lilfordi (Lilford's wall lizard), 742 nucleotides. The record is from the annotation of a GenBank genome assembly. Lineage: Eukaryota; Metazoa; Chordata; Lepidosauria; Squamata; Lacertidae.